UCGAGAAUCUUCGGCAAUGGGCGCAAGCCUGACCGAGCGACGCCGCGUGCGGGAUGAAGGCCCUUGGGUUGUAAACCGCUGUCAGAGGGGAUGAAGUGCGGGUGAGUAAUUCAUAAUCUCAUCCGUUUGACAUAGCCUCAGAGGAAGCACGGGCUAAGUUCGUGCCAGCAGCCGCGGUAAUACGAACUGUGCAAACGUUAUUCGGAAUCACUGGGCUUAAAGGGUGCGUAGGCGGUCAUUUAGGUAGGGUGUGAAAGCCCCCGGCUCAACCGGGGAAUUGCGCCCUAAACCGGGUGACUGGAGUGAGAUAGGGGUGUGUGGAACUUCCGGUGGAGCGGUGAAAUGUGUUGAUAUCGGAAGGAACGCCGGUGGCGAAAGCGACACACUGGGUCUCAACUGACGCUGAGGCACGAAAGCCAGGGGAGCAAACGG
RNAcentral lists this ribosomal RNA (432 nucleotides) under uncultured bacterium. RNAcentral's name for it is "bacterial SSU rRNA". It matches the Rfam family "Bacterial small subunit ribosomal RNA", at positions 355 to 775 of the family's 1533-position model. The record is from RNAcentral.